UCGGGAACCGAGUAGAGUGGCGCACGGGUGAGUAACACGUAGGUAAUUUGCCUUUGGGUGGGGAAUAACUCAGGGAAACUUGAGCUAAUACCGCAUAAUGCAGCGGCUCGACAUCGAGACAGUUGUUAAAGCGGGGGAUUCGCAAGAACCUCGCGCCUGAAGAGAAGCCUGCGGCAGAUUAGCUAGUUGGUAAGGUAAUGGCUUACCAAGGCGACGAUCUGUAACCGGCCUGAGAGGGCGGUCGGUCACACUGACACUGACAUACGGGUCAGACUCCUACGGGAGGCAGCAGUCGGGAAUUUUGGGCAAUGGGCGAAAGCCUGACCCAGCAACGCCGCGUGAAGGAUGAAAUUUUUCGGAAUGUAAACUUCGCAAGAACGGGAAGAAUAAGUGGGGGACAAUACCCCCCAUGAUGACGGUACCGUUUGUAGGCUCCGGCUAACUCCGUGCCAGCAGCCGCGGUAAUACGGGGGGAGCAAGCGUUGUUCGGAUUUACUGGGCGUAAAGGGCGCGUAGGCGGUCGUGACAAGUCACUUGUGAAAUCUCCGGGCUUAACUCGGAGCGGCCAAGUGAUACUGUCGUGCUAGAGUGCGGAAGGGGCUACUGGAAUUCUCGGUGUAGCGGUGAAAUGCGUAGAUAUCGAGAGGAACACCUGCGGCGAAGGCGGGUAGCUGGGGCGACACUGACGCUGAGGCGCGAAAGCUAGGGG
RNAcentral lists this ribosomal RNA (709 nucleotides) under uncultured bacterium. Its description in RNAcentral is "bacterial SSU rRNA". It matches the Rfam family "Bacterial small subunit ribosomal RNA", at positions 79 to 766 of the family's 1533-position model. The record is from RNAcentral.